UACGUAGGGUGCAGGCGUUAAUCGGAAUUACUGGGCGUAAAGCGUGCGCAGGCGGGUUCUUAAGUCAGAUGUGAAAGCCCCGGGCUUAACCUGGGAACUGCGUUUGAAACUGGGAGACUUGAGUGUGGCAGAGGGGGGUGGAAUUCCACGUGUAGCAGUGAAAUGCGUAGAUAUGUGGAGGAACACCGAUGGCGAAGGCAGCCCCCUGGGUUAACACUGACGCUCAUGCACGAAAGCGUGGGGAGCAAACAGG
Molecule: ribosomal RNA, 253 nt
Filed under: uncultured bacterium
Lineage: Bacteria
Description: partial 16S ribosomal RNA
Rfam family: Bacterial small subunit ribosomal RNA
Source: RNAcentral